GCCUGGCUAGCUCAAUCGGUAGAGCGUAAGACUCUUACAGUGUCUUCGACUCUGAAAAGUCAAUCUUAAGGCUGUGGGUUCGACCCCCACGUCGGGCU
Molecule: transfer RNA, 98 nt
Filed under: Coniella lustricola
Lineage: Eukaryota; Fungi; Ascomycota; Sordariomycetes; Diaporthales; Schizoparmaceae
Rfam family: tRNA
About the family: Transfer RNA (tRNA) molecules are approximately 80 nucleotides in length. Their secondary structure includes four short double-helical elements and three loops (D, anti-codon, and T loops). Further hydrogen bonds mediate the characteristic L-shaped molecular structure. tRNAs have two regions of fundamental functional importance: the anti-codon, which is responsible for specific mRNA codon recognition, and the 3' end, to which the tRNAs corresponding amino acid is attached (by aminoacyl-tRNA synthetases). tRNAs cope with the degeneracy of the genetic code in two manners: having more than one tRNA (with a specific anti-codon) for a particular amino acid; and 'wobble' base-pairing, i.e. permitting non-standard base-pairing at the 3rd anti-codon position.
Source: Rfam by way of RNAcentral